This 401-nucleotide ribosomal RNA is filed under the name uncultured prokaryote. RNAcentral describes it as "bacterial SSU rRNA". It matches the Rfam family "Bacterial small subunit ribosomal RNA", at positions 355 to 774 of the family's 1533-position model. The record is from RNAcentral.
UGGGGAAUAUUGCACAAUGGGCGAAAGCCUGAUGCAGCAACGCCGCGUGAGCGAUGAAGGCCUUCGGGUCGUAAAGCACUGUCCUCAAGGAAGAUAAUGACGGUACUUGAGGAGGAAGCCCCGGCUAACUACGUGCCAGUAGCCGCGGUAAUACGUAGGGGGCUAGCGUUAUCCGGAAUUACUGGGCGUAAAGGGUGCGUAGGUGGUUUCUUAAGUCAGAGGUGAAAGGCUACGGCUCAACCGUAGUAAGCUCUUGAAACUGGGAAACUUGAGUGCAGGAGAGUAAAGUGGAAUUCCUAGUGUAGCGGUGAAAUGCGUCGAUAUUAGGAGUAACACCAGUAGCGAAUGCGGCUUUCUGGACUGUAACUGACACUGUGGCACGAAAGCGUGGUGAGCAAACA